UGUCAGUGAGGUGUCAUGUGCACUGG
RNAcentral lists this non-coding RNA (26 nucleotides) under Homo sapiens (human). The record is from RNAcentral. Lineage: Eukaryota; Metazoa; Chordata; Mammalia; Primates; Hominidae.